This 183-nucleotide non-coding RNA is filed under the name Alicyclobacillus sp. ALC3. Its description in RNAcentral is "6S RNA". It matches the Rfam family "6S / SsrS RNA". Rfam says of the family: E. coli 6S RNA was the first non coding RNA to be sequenced, but its function was unknown until recently. It consists of 184 nucleotides that fold into an extended hairpin structure with a large single-stranded internal bulge. The 6S RNA specifically associates with RNA polymerase holoenzyme containing the sigma70 specificity factor. The record is from RNAcentral. Lineage: Bacteria; Bacillati; Bacillota; Bacilli; Caryophanales; Alicyclobacillaceae.
AGCGCCCUGCGCUGUUGGUGUGAACCCACUGUGUUUUGAGCCAACACCCAAAACACGGGAGGCCGAUGUCUCUACCAUGAGUAAACGCCUCGCACUGCGAGGACUUACAGAGUGGCUGAGCAGGACACCCACCUGCGAGAGCAGGUUCAAAACCUCGGGUUUCACGGCAUUUGCGGGGCACCA